Long non-coding RNA from Trematomus bernacchii (emerald rockcod), 954 nucleotides. RefSeq lists it as uncharacterized. The transcript is spliced from 2 exons. The record is from RefSeq and is a predicted model, not a curated record. Lineage: Eukaryota; Metazoa; Chordata; Actinopteri; Perciformes; Nototheniidae.
UCUAAAUAGAACUACUUUUAUAAUAUUGUAGCUUUGUUUAAUCAAUAAGUUGGUAAUUAAAUAUUAAUAUUUGAGUUUCCAGGCAGAACUCAGUCUGAGAUAUUCUGGUGAUCAAUAUGAAAAGAGGAGGUCAAUAAAGGUGAUCAAUAUGAAAAGGUAAAUAAAGGUGAUCAAUAUGAAAAGGUAAAUAAAGGUGAUCAAUAUGAAAAGGUAAAUAAAGGUGAUCAAUAUGAAAAGGUAAAUAAAGGUGAUCAAUAUGAAAAGGUAAAUAAAGGUGAUCAAUAUGGAAAGGUAACUAAAGGUGAUCAAUAUGGAAAGGUAAAUAAAGGUGAUCAAUAUGGAAAGGUAAAUAAAGGAAGUAUUGACAGGUUUCUAAAUGUGAUUGAGUUUGUAAGUGAAAGUGUCUCUGAUGGAAAUGACUUCAGAUCAAAACCCAAAGGUAAUGUUUGAGCCUCACUAAAUGUUCCUAACAACACAGAACUGUAUUAUUCCCAGUCGUCAUGGUAACGUCAUCAGUUGCCGGGCAGAUUUCACCUGAACAGGUUUCUGAAGCAGGAGCUCUGAGAACAGCUGAGUGCAGCGACACACACUGAUAACACACACAUUACAGAGAUCAAUACAUCACUCAGAGUUACUUUAUUUUGUUAAAUGUUCCUCCAUUAGAGAACAUUUUCAUUUGUUUCUUUUUAGAAAGCAGUAAACCAUUAGAUCUUUAGUUUCAUAUCAAAUCCACUUUCCUCUAGUGUCUGAGACGCUAGUAGAAACCAAUACAUGUGUUGAUGGAAAGACGAGAAGACGGACAUUUGGGAGAUGGGUUUUUAUUGGAAAGUGAAACACGGACAGGAAAGGGUUAACAAUGCAGAGCGACUUCAUGUCACGUUCACCUCUGAACCCCAAACUAAAGAGAACGUCACAGUCCGCUGGCUAUGUACACAAAACCUCCCUGUCCCUAAA